UAAGAUAGCAAGGCAGUGCAGCCUGAGUGGAUAGGAUAAUGGGACAAGCUGGACCUGGGAUGAGAGUAACAAGUACAUGAGAGAGGAAAUGAGAAUGAUGAGUUCCCACCAGCUCCUUGGCUGCUUUCUUACCCAUAUAUUUCUCUGUCCCUAGAUGUUUGUUUUUUUUCUUCAUUCGUAUAUUAUUUGGAAGAGGAAUUGUAGAGGAACAGCAUGGAGUGUAAUACAGAAUCAUAUUUCAUGCAUGCUAACUACUCGGGGAAAAGAUUUGUAUAAGCCUGGGAGUUUGACUGUUGGCUAAAGUGAAAUGGAGGGAUUAGUAGAGAAUGAAAAUUGUUCAGGCUGUUUGCUCGUCAUUGGAAAGAAUUGGAUGUGUUGUGAACCUAGGAAAGCGCUCACAUUCAGUCAUCCCCCUGUUUGGGAUAGGUUUGAGGAACUACUGGCCAACCUACUAAAUGAACAACAUCAGAUAGCAAAGGAACUAUUUGAACAGCUGAAGAUGAAGAAAUCUUCAGCCAAACAGCAGAAGGAGGUAGAGAAGGUUAAACCCCAGUGUAAGGAAGUUCAUCAGACCCUGAUUCUGGACCCAGCACAGAGGAAGAGACUCCAGCAGCAGAUGCAGCAGAAAGAGCUGGGAACCUUUGCUCAAAGCUCCAUCGCCCUUCACCAUCAGUACAACCCCAAGUUUCAGACCCUGUUCCAACCCUGUAACUUGAUGGGAGCUAUGCAGCUUAUUGAAGACUUCAGCACACAUGUCAGCAUUGACUGCAGCCCUCAUAAAACUGUCAAGAAGACUGCCAAUGAAUUUCCCUGUUUGCCAAAGCAAGUGGCUUGGAUCCUGGCCACAAGCAAGGUUUUCAUGUACCCAGAGUUACUUCCAGUGUGUUCCCUGAAGGCAAAGAAUCCCCAGGAUAAGAUCCUCUUCACCAAAGCUGAGGACAAUUUGUUAGCUUUAGGACUGAAGCAUUUUGAAGGGACUGAGUUUCUUAACCCUCUAAUCAGCAAGUACCUUCUAACCUGCAAGACUGCCCGCCAACUGACAGUGAGAAUCAAGAACCUCAACAUGAACAGAGCUCCUGACAACAUCAUUAAAGUGAGUGUUUCCUGCAUGUGCCAUCCAGGCACCUCACUAAUACAUAUCCAUUCUUUUCUCUUGUUAUUCUGAAAGGAAAGAAGAACCUUAUUUUAUCUUAAGCUAAUUUCUCCUACUUAUACACUAGAUGAAUUCCCCUGUUGCCUUUUCAGGGAUAUUGACUCAUUCAUUACAUUCCUCUGGAGUAUCUUCAUCCUGUUAAAAGAUUUCACAAAUCCAUGUUUCCCUGUAAUAAUUCUUUCUUGAACUUUUUUUUUUUUUUUUUUUUUUUUUUUU
RNAcentral lists this long non-coding RNA (1369 nucleotides) under Rhinopithecus bieti (black snub-nosed monkey). RNAcentral describes it as "lncRNA (ENSRBIG00000046434.1)". The record is from RNAcentral. Lineage: Eukaryota; Metazoa; Chordata; Mammalia; Primates; Cercopithecidae.